GCCCGCAUGGCUCAGUGGUAGAGCGUGUCACUAGUACUUCGCAAUGACAAGGUCGUCAGUUCGAUUCUGGCUGUGGGCA
This is a non-coding RNA of Staphylotrichum longicolle, 79 nucleotides long. The record is from the annotation of a GenBank genome assembly. Lineage: Eukaryota; Fungi; Ascomycota; Sordariomycetes; Sordariales; Chaetomiaceae.